GGAAGUAAAAGACAAGGUUUCCGUAGGUGAACCUGCGGAAGGAUCAUUGUCGAAGCCUGCCCAGCAGAACGACCCGCGAACUUGUAUAAACAACCGGGGGCAGGGGCGAUCUCGCCCCGUGCCCUCGAACGGCAGGGAGACACUCGUGCCUUCUUGUCGAACAACGAACCCCGGCGCGGUCUGCGCCAAGGAACUUCAAUUAAAGAGUGCCUCCGGUCGCCUCGGAAACGAUGCGCGUGUCGGAGGCGAAUCUUGUACAAAACCAUAACGACUCUCGGCAACGGAUAUCUCGGCUCUC
RNAcentral lists this unclassified non-coding RNA (298 nucleotides) under plant metagenome. Its description in RNAcentral is "partial contains small subunit ribosomal RNA, internal transcribed spacer 1, and 5.8S ribosomal RNA". The record is from RNAcentral.